Micropterus dolomieu (smallmouth bass) is the source of this 597-nucleotide long non-coding RNA. RefSeq lists it as uncharacterized. NCBI's taxonomy places the organism in Eukaryota, Metazoa, Chordata, Actinopteri, Centrarchiformes, Centrarchidae. The record is from RefSeq and is a predicted model, not a curated record. The transcript is spliced from 4 exons.
CUUAUUAGGAGUCGGCUGUUCACUUUCUCUGAGUCUGUCACUGCGGAAAGUAUCCUCCACAGAUGGGUCCGGCAGCACCAUGUCAGGAUCACUGAGCAUGCUCAGACCGUCCAGGCUGAGGGGCUCGAUGCGCAGCUCGUCCUCCAACGGGAAGCCUCCCUCUGAGUCAAAACAUUCAGGCACUGUGGAAAGUGCACUGCUGAUGUCCUUUGACAGACUGGGGUUGGAGUCAUCUGUGAGAGAGAAACAGAUGAUGGAUGCUAAAAACGGAGGAAAUAUGUCACACUUGGAUAAAUGGUGGAUGGACAGUUGAAAGCAACAAAACAUCAUCAUCAGGAGCACACAAGAAAAAGCUGUGCUACACCCACCCUGUGAGUUGCUGCCGAUGCCUAGAUGCAUCAUGGCAGCUGGCAGAUUUCCGGUGCUGCUGCCCCCACUGAGGUUCGGGUAUCCUCCAUUGUCAUCAGGGUCCAGCGGGGUGGACAGGGGUGACGGGAAGUGCAGGUUGCUGAGGUCGGGCAGGGAGCCGCCGGUAUUUAACAAGCCCUGGUAGUGGGACAGACCUGGGUUCUGCUCCGGAGAUGGGAAUAUACUGCA